GAAGAUUCACCUAUAUUUGUAAUUUACAUCAGAUGCAUGAAAAUUAUUUUAUGGGGAAAUAUGGGCAGGUUACCAUAAAGAUUGCAGGAAGCAACCAAAGGAUGCAUUUGAUUUGACCCCUUUACAUAUUCAAAAGUCGAAUCCUGGCAUUGCAAACUGGGAAGCAAAUGUCUCAACCCGGUUUCGAAGCUCAACGACAUCUCUACUGUUUUGAAGACCCUUGGGAAAAUCUUUUGGGAAUUUCCCGUAUUCCCUUUGUACCGCACAUGUUAUCUGAGCUGCCCUAAGAAGAAAGUCGGCAAUAGUUUCAAAAUCACCCUCUAAACA
RNAcentral lists this unclassified non-coding RNA (327 nucleotides) under Hevea brasiliensis (rubber tree). The record is from RNAcentral. Lineage: Eukaryota; Viridiplantae; Streptophyta; Magnoliopsida; Malpighiales; Euphorbiaceae.